AGCGCCCCAGGCCCCAGCCUAGGAUGAAAGCCACGGAGGCCCAGUCCAGCCUUUCCAGGGAUGCGAGCAGUACAUCGAUCGAUCGAUACUGCCUUCGGCCGGCCCUUCGCCUCGCCUGUUCGUCUGCUCGACUGCGCUUCAUGCCCUUCCUGUUUCGCCUCUGUACUCGCCACCUAUCGGCAGAUCGCGGCAAGUCGCCGAAUCAGUGAAGAAAAGAAGGCAUAGGGAAUUAGGGGUACUUGAUAAUACUAGAGAUUUUGGCUGUAUUGGGUAAUUGGACUAUUUGAGAUCAGGGUGUUUGAGAUAAUUGUGCAACCAGUGGAGACGGCUGGAAGCACCGGCACCAUGUCAAGAGAGGCUCAGUUCAUGGAAAGGUUUCUAAAAAAGAGGAGAACCUCGGUGCAAGAUGAAAAUGUUGGUCCGUCACACGAAAAUAAUCAGAAUGAUGGCUCGGUCCCGACACAAUCGGAUAGACAAAUUGAUGCCUCAACACAUGAACAGAUUGAUGUUCCGACCCCCGCCAUCAUCACAUGGACAAAAUGAUGCCUCCACACAUGAACCUAGUUCUGCUAAUACUACAAGAAAUUCCUUUGAAGUUGAAGAGCUCAAUUGGGAAGAAGAAAUUCAAUUUGAUCCAGGUAAAAGGAGAAGCAUAGAUGAGUACCAUCCGAAUCAGAGAGAUAUGGUAAGAAGGAAGUAUUUGGCCAAUGGCCCUUCUCAACCUCGUACUGCAG
Long non-coding RNA from Triticum dicoccoides, 734 nucleotides. RefSeq lists it as uncharacterized. The record is from RefSeq and is a predicted model, not a curated record. NCBI's taxonomy places the organism in Eukaryota, Viridiplantae, Streptophyta, Magnoliopsida, Poales, Poaceae. The transcript has 3 exons.